ACGCCGAUGAGGAAGAAUUCCUUAAGUAUAGGAAGUGCCGUAUGACACUCUUAAACAGCAGCAGUUGCACGGCGGCGUUACCCCUCCCAUUAAAUGCUGUCAUUUUUGGAUUUUUUCCAAUUCUGCUCACUGGUCGGGACUUUGUGUUCUACACCACGCUUCUCUCUGUGUGUGAUUUGGAACGGGUCUCUGAGGUUU
RNAcentral lists this small nucleolar RNA (198 nucleotides) under Olea europaea subsp. europaea. The stretch from base 2 to 68 matches the Rfam family "Small nucleolar RNA U49". Lineage: Eukaryota; Viridiplantae; Streptophyta; Magnoliopsida; Lamiales; Oleaceae. The record is from RNAcentral.